AACGAACGCUGGCGGCAUGCCUAACACAUGCAAGUCGAACGAGACCUUCGGGUCUAGUGGCGCACGGGUGCGUAACGCGUGGGAACCUGCCCUUAGGUUCGGAAUAACUCCCCGAAAGGGGUGCUAAUACCGGAUAAUGUCUUCGGACCAAAGAUUUAUCGCCUUUGGAUGGGCCCGCGUUGGAUUAGCUAGUUGGUGGGGUAAAAGCCUACCAAGGCGACGAUCCAUAGCUGGUCUGAGAGGAUGAUCAGCCACACUGGGACUGAGACACGGCCCAGACUCGUACGGGAGGCAGCAGUGGGGAAUAUUGGACAAGGGGCGAAAGCCUGAUCCAGCAAUGCCGCGUGAGUGAUGAAGGCCUUAGGGUUGUAAAGCUCUUUUACCCGGGAUGAUAAUGACAGUACCGGGAGAAUAAGCUCCGGCUAACUCCGUG
This 433-nucleotide ribosomal RNA is filed under the name uncultured bacterium. RNAcentral describes it as "partial 16S ribosomal RNA". It matches the Rfam family "Bacterial small subunit ribosomal RNA", at positions 29 to 507 of the family's 1533-position model. The record is from RNAcentral.